GAUAGCCCAGCUGAGAUAGGUUCAUUCCUUUUAUAUGGGCUUUCAUUGUAUUGGCAGGAUCCACUGUGUGUGUUGUCAUGGAAAUGGAAUCUUUGCUAGUAGAGAUGGAGUCAGAUGAAGACAGCAAAUGGUGAGCUGAUGACUUCCUUUGAAGGAAAUAACCCUAGUAUGAAAAGACUUACUUGGACUUGUUUCAGGAUGUCUAGUAGUGUUAGAUUCCCACCCGGUUGUUGUGCCUUCUCUAAUGGCUGCCAUGUGGGAAAAGGGAAAAAGGUCCCUUUGGGGCUAGUGUCUAAGGAAGGAUUAGUGUCUAGCAUGCCCUUGGACUCAACUGUUGUGGAUCCAUGUGGGAGAGAGCUAGUGCCCAUAGAUACUCUUGAAGAAACUUUGGUUUGAGUAGGAGGGAGGGUCGUUCCAGAGAAGAAAUAGUUGUCUGAGUUGUCUCUGGACAUUGUUUCCCUGCAGCAGAAUUCACAGGUAGGACUGAUCAGAGCCUAGGCCAUAAGAGGUCCCUCCUAGUGUCUUUAAACUGGGAGGUACCAAAUCUGUGUAUCCAACCUCAAAAAGACUGGUUGGCCAUGUCCUCUCAGCUAGCCAGGGAUAGACCCCUGGGAACUGCUAUCUUUGUGUACUUGCUGGACAAUCCUGUGUCUAAGAGAGAUGAUUUGAGGUAGAGCUAAGAUGGAAUGGGAAAGCUCCAGUUGCUCUGAAAAUCCUCUCCAACCACUCUAAAAUAACAUUUCAAAAUGAAUUUUGGAGUAAUUGAACCAACACGGGCACAGAGUGCAGUAACUUUCCUGCAGAAAAUAACUUGGAAGGUAGACAGGGGAUCUCUUUCACGGUGGUGAGAGGAGAGUACAGCUGGCAGCAAAGCUGUACCAAAGAGUAAAGGCACAAGGCAAUAGCAACCCUUGCCAACUACUCACCUAUUGCUUUAGGUCUAGUCAUACUCAAUUUUGGUACCCUGAGUCCCUGCCUAAGCAAAUUAACAAUACACCCCUUUCCUAAUCCAUGAAAUUCCAAGCCCUAGCUCAAGCCUCUAAUGAGGCCCCAUACCCUAAUGCAAAGCAAUCCAUGGAGUUGCUGGCCAGUGCAACUCUAAGAGGAGGCUAGAACUCUUGGAAAAGACUGCAGUCAGGCCCCAAACCCCAGUGUAAGGUAGUCCACAAAGAAUAUGCCUUAUAUAGAUGCAGAGUGCAAUGAAGCCCCAAGCCCCAGUGCAAAAGAGUUCACAGUGCAACUAGCUCAUGUUAGCCCUUGAAACUUCUUCCUGUUUUAAUAAAUAUUAUAAAAAUGACAAUUGUAUCUAAAUUAAUAUACUUAUUCAGUGACACACAAUUCAAACUAUCAAAGAUAUAUUUUCUAGAAGUAGAAAAAAUAUCAAAAUUCUCCCGGAAGAACAAUAGAGUAAGAAUUUAAUGAAGGGAAUAAAUGGCAAAAUGAAGGAAUAUGGCCUAGCAGUACCAAAUCUCAAACUGACCUAUAAAGCUGAAUCAUCAAAACAAUAUAGUCCUGGCUAAAAAGUGACAAGAUUCAAGCUUUGGGGAUAAGAACUCAAUGUUGAAUAAAAACUGCUGUAUAAACUGUGUAAACUGUUAAAACAGUGUGGCAGAAAUGAGGUAGAGACCAAUAUCUCAUACCUUAUGCCAAGAUAAAGUCAAAAUGGGUAUAUGGUUUAGAAAUAAAGAGUGAUACUAUAAUAAAGAAGGGAGGGUGGAAUGGUUUCUUGAUGGGUCUGUGCAAAAGGAAAUAAUUUAUGACCAAACAAGAGAUAGAAAACAUUACAAAAUAGAAAAUGAAUAAUUUUGAUUUCAUUAAUUUUUGUGUACAUGAAUCCCAUAUAACCAAGACUAGAAGGGAAACAAUAAAAAGGCGGGAGGGUAUAAAAUUUCUCUAAUAAAGGUCUUGUUUCUCAAACUUGUAGAGAACUAAGUCAACUUUAUAAGAGUACAAGCCAUUCCCCAAUUGACAACUGGUCAAAGGAUGUAAACUAGCAGUUUUCAGAUGAAGGAAUUAAAGUGGAAAAAGAGACACACAGAGACAGUCCCUUGAAGUUGGAGUGAAGACAGUCACGUGGAGCUGGAGGGAAGACAGACACUUGAGGAGAGACUGGAAGAUAGACAGUCAGACUUGGAGUGAAGACACUUGGCUGUGGAACUGGACCCGUGGAGGAGCUUGUGCAGGAGAUUUCAGACUACUUUCCUUUUAGACAGUCACAGUGGUGAGUAUCUAGGCUGACAUCUUCCUUGUCCUUCCUGGAGGUAUGAACCUCCAUGAAAGGCCUAUUGUCUUGAGACACCUUUCCCCUGACUGGUGCCUUAGAAUUUCUAACUGGUUCAGAGGAAACUAGAGCUCUAGCUCUCUCUCUCUCCCUCUGUCUCUGUCUCUGUCUAUCACUCUCUCUCUCUCUCUCACUCUCUUUCUUUCUUUGUCUCUCCCCUUUUCUCUCUUCCUUAAUAUCUUCCCUCUAUUGUAAAAAUAAACUACCAUAAAUUACACUUUA
Long non-coding RNA from Monodelphis domestica (gray short-tailed opossum), 2503 nucleotides. RefSeq lists it as uncharacterized. The record is from RefSeq and is a predicted model, not a curated record. NCBI's taxonomy places the organism in Eukaryota, Metazoa, Chordata, Mammalia, Didelphimorphia, Didelphidae.